RNAcentral lists this ribosomal RNA (502 nucleotides) under uncultured bacterium. Its description in RNAcentral is "bacterial SSU rRNA". It matches the Rfam family "Bacterial small subunit ribosomal RNA", at positions 30 to 504 of the family's 1533-position model. The record is from RNAcentral.
UGAACGCUGGCGGCGUGCUUAACACAUGCAAGUCGUACGAGAAAUCUUCAGCUUGCUGAAGAGAGUAAAGUGGCGCACGGGUGAGUAACGCGUGGAUAAUCUAUCCUUGAAUCGGGGAUAACGUUGCGAAAGCGACGCUAAUACCGGAUGACAUCAUAAAGGCUUUGGCCUUAAUGAUCAAAGAUGACCUCUACCUGUAAGUUGUUGUUUGAGGAGGAGUCCGCGUACCAUUAGCUUGUUGGUAGGGUAACGGCCUACCAAGGCCACGAUGGUUAGCUGGUCUGAGAGGAUGAUCAGCCACACUGGAACUGACACACGGUCCAGACUCCUACGGGAGGCAGCAGUGAGGAAUUUUGCGCAAUGGGGGAAACCCUGACGCAGCAACGCCGCGUGAGUGAUGAAGGCUUUAGGGUCGUAAAGCUCUGUCAAGUGGGAAGAACCUAUCCGGAAUUAAUACGUUCGGGUACUGACGGUACCACUGAAGGAAGCACCGGCUAACUCC